GGCAAGAUGAGGAGGCAAUAUGGCUUCAACCAAGUUCUACAGGAAGAUUAGGAGCCUGGAUGUUUGUUGAGAAGAUUCUCAAUAAAGUUCUAGAGCCUGGUGAGAAACAUUGCACGUCUGUAUUGGAUUCAAGAAGAAUUUAUAAACAUCAUCUAUACCCACAAGCCUCAACAAACUUUGAAGUCAUACAAAUGCCCCACGAUCUAAAGAAGAACAGAAGCACAGAGAAAUUUGUGAGGAAAUUUGCAGUAAGCAAAACUGGUUACUGAAUGUCUUCAAUAGAAAAUUAUGCAUUGUUCAGAGCACAGUCUUCUAGGUUAUCUGAUUUAAGCCUAUCAUUGCCUUGAAGCUUUUACAACUCUUAUAAGUUGUAGAAAACUGAUAAUGAGGUAAAAUAAUUGCUUACUGACAAUUCUUGUUUAUCCAUAUGAAAUAAAUUCUCACCAAUGUGGUUUGGUUGACUUCCUUUCCCCACGAAGGAAUAGCAUUUUGAAACCACUUGCAAAUUCAUUUCAGUAUUCCUGAUUUAUAAAUGCGUUUGUUCUUUGGAUUAUCUUUUGAAUUAGCUGUAAUAGCUUUUCCAGUUCCCGCAUUUAAUUAAUGAGUUAAAUAAAAUCUUUGACAUUUGUUCACUUCAUUUACAUAUGAGUCAUAUUACUUUAAAAAAUUACUCUUUAUAGAUUUAUGGAACAAAACGUGCCACCACUUUCAGACUGAAGUCUUCAAUUUUUACUGAAAAUUAAAUCUAGCCAUUAGAUUAAAUUUAAGUGAAUUUAUAUAUUCCUGUUACAUACUCCUGGAAUAGGGCUCUCAUAUGAAAGUAUUAAUCGCUGCAUAUAUGGACUGACAGUUCAAGGUUAUUAAAUGCACUGUUUUUCCACAGUAUCCUCAUUUUUUAGGACUUCUGUCUGGAAAGCUUUCUAGAACAGCUCUUCUCCUGACCUAAGGAAAAACUUGGAUACAGCCAUAAGAAAUGUGAAUUCAUUUGGCUUGCUUUGUGAAUUAUCACAUACAUCAAAGCUAAGAUUGACAGCAUUAUUCUAAAAAUAACUAAUAGCUUAAUGACAAUGCAAUGGCUACUACAUUCAAACAACCUGACGAUUUACAUUGUAAGUAAAUCACUGGACAGGGAUGUGAGCUGCCCAGUUCUUUACCUAGAGGAUGAGGACUAAAGUUCUACAAGACCAAAGUUCUAAUUUCAGGUAACCCCUCAUCCCCAGGGGCUUCCCUGGUGACUCAGACGGUGAUGCAGGAGAUCUGCCUGCAAUGCAGAAGAUCUGGGUUUGAUCCCUGGGUCCCAAAGAUCCCCUGGAAAAGGGAAUGGCAACCCACUCCAGUAUUCUUGCCUGGAGAAUUCCAUGGACAGAGGAGCCUGGCAGGCUAUAGUCCAUGGGGGCCAGAAAGAGUCAGACACGACUAAACAGCUAACAUUUUCACUUUCCUCAUCCCCAUAUACUCAGGCCCUGGACAAAGUUGAGAAGAAAUUAGGGUAUGCCUUUGCUAUAUUUUAGUUGUCAAUUUCUGCCAAAGCAUUUCGACUGCCUCAACAGUCAAUACCCUCUAACCUAGUCAAGCAAGCCAAAUGAAUUCAUAUUUGCUAUGGCUGUAUCCCAGUUUUUCCUUAGCUCUGGAGCAGAGAUGGUCUAGAAAACUUUCCAGGUAGAAGUCAUAAAAAAUGAGGAAACUGGAAAAAUAGUGCAUUUAAUAACCUGCUGUCAGGAGAAGAUUUUGAAUAACUCUUUCACAUUAAAAUAUCAUAAUCUUAUCUUUCCCAAGAGGGGUUUUAUUUUAAAAGUGAAUUACAACCCCUGAGUUUACAGUCAACUGAUCUUUGACAAACAGCAAAGGCAAUAAAUUGAGAAAGGGUAGUCUUUUCAGAAAAUGGUGCUAAACAACAGGAUAUGCACAUGCAAAAUGCGAAUCUAGAUACAGACCUUAGAGUUCUCACAAAAAUUAACUUAAAAUGGGUCAAGAUCUAAAUGUAAAAUGAAAACUACAAAACUCCUAGAAGAUAACAUAGGAGAAAAAUCUGUGACCUUGGGGUUGGGUGGUGACUUCUUAGAUACCCCAUCAAAAACAUAAUCCAUCAGAGAAAAAAUUAAAAAGUUGAACUUUGUUAAAAAUUAAAACUUCCAUCUUGAGAAAGACAUUUUCAAGAGAAUCAAAUAUAUGCCAUAGACUGGAAAUAUAAACCAUAGCCCAUACAUAUCUGAUAAAGGACUUCUGUCCAAAAUGUACAAAGAACUUUUAAAAUUUAACAGUAAGAAACCAAACAACUCAAUUUUAAAAAUGGGCAAGAGACCUGAACAGACAUUUCACCAGAGAAGACAGCAAUGGUACAUAAGAAUAUGAAAAUGUGCUCAACAUUGUAUAGUAUCAGGGAAAUACAAAUUAAAACAAUAAUGAGAUGCCACUCCACACCUAUUAGAAUUUAAAGUCCAAAACAGUGAUAACACCAAGUGCAGUUGGAAGUCUCAUUCAUUGCUGGUAAGAAAGCAAAAUGAUAAGUCAUUUUGGAAGACAGCUUAGCAGUGUUUUAUAGGCUAAAUAUACCAUAUAACCUGGCAAUUGCACUUCUAGAUAUUUAUUCAAAAAAGUUGAAAAUAUGUCCACAUGAAAACCUGCACACAAAACUUAUAGAAUCUUUAUAUUCAUAAUUGCCAAAAACCUGGAAACAACCAAAUGUCCUUCAAUAAGUGAGUGGAUAAACCGUGGUAUAUCCAUACAAUGGAAUAUUCAGUGAUAAGAAGAAAUAAGCUUUUAAGCCAUAGAAAUAAGCUAUCAAGGCAUAUGGAUAAAUCUUACAUGCACACUGCUAAGCUUCAGAAGCCAAUCAGAAAAGGAUAUAUACAAUAUAAUCACAACUAUAUGACAUUUUGGAAAAGGCAAUACUGUGGAGACAGUGAAAAGAACAGUGGUUGAGAGGAGUUUAGCGACAGGGAGGAAUAAAUAACUGGAGCACAGAAGAUUUUUAGGGUGGCCAGACUAUUCUGUUUAAUACUGCAAUGGUGGUUACCUGACAUUAUGUAUUUGCCACAACCCAGAGAACUGUUCAGACAUGAACCCUAUUAUAAACUAUGUUGUUUAGUCGCCAAGUUGUGUCCAACUCUUUUUUGACCCCAUAGACUGUAGCCCACUAGGCUACUCUGUCCAUGGGAUUUCCCAGCAAGAAUACUGGAGUAGGUUGCUAUUUCCUACUCCAGGGGAUCUUCCUGACCCAGGGAUCGAACCCAAGUCUCCUGUAUUGCAGGCGUAUUCUUUACUACUGAGCCAACACAACAGAGAAGCCCCAUUAUAAACUACAGACUUUAGUAAAAAUAAUAGAUCAGUAUUGGCUCAUCAGUUACAAAGAAUGUAUCACACUAAUGCAAGAUGUUAAUAGUAGGAAAAAUCAUGUGCAGAGCUGGAAUGAGAAUGGGUAUAUUUUGUGUGCAGUUUUUCUGUAAACCAAAAGUUUCUCUAUAAACGAAACCUAUUAAAAGAGAAAUUCAAGCUGAGUAAAAUGUGAAUUAUACUAGCUGUUCAAAAGUGUGAAUCACUAGUUGUGAAAUACUGACAGAUGUUUCGGAACAAGCAAUCCCCCAUACAUUGCUUCAUUCACAUGAAAUAGAAGCAAGCAUUCCUCCUAUCAGUAAUGGGAACUUCCUGAGUAAUGGGACCAUAGAGCAAUGUUACUCCCUUCUUUCCUCUCUUCUGCUUAUGUCCCAGAUUCAUUGACGGGCAAAUAUUAGCAUUGAUUCAUAAAUCCUUACACAUUUUGCCACACUUUUUGCAAAUAAAAGUUACUAUCACUUGCAUUCCAAACUUAAAACCCAGAUAAAAACUCUUCCUAUUCCUCCAAGCUCACCAAUCCUUUGUGUCCAACACAGUCGGCAUUCUAUUCCACCACUCUUCAUUCUCCAUUAUAAUAUGUACUCUAGGAACAUUUUCUAGCUCUGAUCUUUUGGUUGUUGUUGUUGAUUUGCUAAGUCAUGUCCGACUCUUUGCAACCCCAUGGACUGCAGCACACCAGACUUCUCUGUCCUCCACUAUCGACUUUGCUCAAAUACAUAUCCACUGAGUCGGUGAUCCUACCUAACCAUCCCAUCCUCUGCUGAUCCCCUCUCCUUUUGCCUUCAAUCUUUCCCAGCAUCAGGGCCUUUUCUAAUAACUUGGCUCUUUGCAUCAGGUGGCCAAAGUAUUAGAGCUUCAGCUUCAACAUCAGUCCUUCCAACAAAUACUCAGGACUGAUUUCCUUUAGGAUUGACUGGUUUGAUAUCUUGCAGCCCAAGAAACUCUCAAGAAUCUUCUCAAGUACCACAAUAUGAAAGCAUCAAUUUUUUGGUGCUUAGACUUCUUUACGGUCCAACUCUCACAUCCAUACGUGACUACUGGAAAAACCAUAGCUUUGACUAUAUGGACGAUCGUUGGCAAAGUGAUGUCUCUGCUUUCUAAUAUGCUGUAUAGGUUUAUCAUAGCUUUUCUUCCAAGAAGCAAACGUCUUUUAGUUUUGUGACUGCAACCACCAUAUUGAUUGAUUUUGAAGACUAAGAAAAUAAAAUCUGUCACUGCUUCCAGUUUUCCUCCUUCUGUUUGCCAUGAAGUGAUUGGGCUGGAUG
RNAcentral lists this long non-coding RNA (4598 nucleotides) under Cervus hanglu yarkandensis (Yarkand deer). RNAcentral's name for it is "lncRNA (ENSCHYG00000020669.1)". Lineage: Eukaryota; Metazoa; Chordata; Mammalia; Artiodactyla; Cervidae. The record is from RNAcentral.